UACGCGGGGUGCAAGCGUUGCUCGGAAUUAUUGGGCGUAAAGGGUAGGUAGGUGGCCUCAUUUGUCUGGGGUGAAAGCCUUGAGCUUAACUCAAGAAGUGCCCCGGAAACGGUGAGACUGGAGUCUUGGAGAGGGUCGUGGAAUUCCCGGUGUAGCGGUGAAAUGCGUAGAGAUCGGGAGGAACACCAGAGGCGAAGGCGGCGUCCUGGAGAAGUACUGACACUCAACUACCAAAGCGCGGGGAGCAAACAGG
Molecule: ribosomal RNA, 253 nt
Filed under: uncultured bacterium
Lineage: Bacteria
Description: partial 16S ribosomal RNA
Rfam family: Bacterial small subunit ribosomal RNA
Source: RNAcentral